This 504-nucleotide ribosomal RNA is filed under the name uncultured bacterium. RNAcentral describes it as "partial 16S ribosomal RNA". It matches the Rfam family "Bacterial small subunit ribosomal RNA", at positions 29 to 523 of the family's 1533-position model. The record is from RNAcentral.
AUUGAACGCUGGCGGCAGGCCUAACACAUGCAAGUCGAACGGUAGCACAGAGAGCUUGCUCUCGGGUGACGAGUGGCGGACGGGUGAGUAACGUCUGGGAAACUGCCCGAUGGAGGGGGAUAACUACUGGAAACGGUAGCUAAUACCGCAUAACGUCGCAAGACCAAAGCGGGGGACCUUCGGGCCUCACACCAUCGGAUGUGCCCAGAUGGGAUUAGCUAGUAGGUGGGGUAAUGGCUCACCUAGGCGAGGAUCCCUAGCUGGUCUGAGAGGAUGACCAGCCACACUGGAACUGAGACACGGUCCAGACUCCUACGGGAGGCAGCAGUGGGGAAUAUUGCACAAUGGGCGCAAGCCUGAUGCAGCCAUGCCGCGUGUAUGAAGAAGGCCUUCGGGUUGUAAAGUACUUUCAGCGGGGAGGAAGGCGGUGAAGUUAAUAGCUUCACCGAUUGACGUUACCCGCAGAAGAAGCACCGGCUAACUCCGUGCCAGCAGCCGCCGUAA